RNAcentral lists this ribosomal RNA (465 nucleotides) under uncultured bacterium. Its description in RNAcentral is "partial 16S ribosomal RNA". It matches the Rfam family "Bacterial small subunit ribosomal RNA", at positions 28 to 507 of the family's 1533-position model. The record is from RNAcentral.
GACGAACGCUGGCGGCGUGCUUAACACAUGCAAGUCGUACGGUAAGGCCCUUUCGGGGGUACACGAGUGGCGAACGGGUGAGUAACACGUGAGUAACCUGCCCACAACUUUGGGAUAACGCUAGGAAACUGGUGCUAAUACUGGAUAUGUGCUCCUGCUGCAUGGUGGGGGUUGGAAAGCUCCGGCGGUUGUGGAUGGACUCGCGGCCUAUCAGCUUGUUGGUGGGGUAGUGGCCUACCAAGGCGGCGACGGGUAGCCGGCCUGAGAGGGUGACCGGCCAAAUUGGGACUGAGAUACGGCCCAGACUCCUACGGGGGGCAGCAGUGGGGAAGAUUGCACAAUGGGCGCAAGCCUGAUGCAGCAACGCCGCGUGCGGGAUGACGGCCUUCGGGUUGUAAACCGCGUUCAGCAGGGACGAAGCUUUUUGUGACGGUACCUGCAGAAGAAGCACCGGCUAACUACGUG